GCCCGGCUGCCGACUGUAACGCCAUUGACGAAGUGCAAACUGAGACUCUUAAAGUUGGAGCGAAUAAAGGACUAUCUCUUAAUGGAGGAGGAGUUCGUCGCCAACCAGGAGAGGUUGAAGCCUCAGGAGGAAAAAGCGGAGGAGGACCGAUCCAAGGUUGAUGAUUUGAGGGGAUCGCCCAUGAGUGUGGGGAACUUGGAAGAGCUGAUUGAUGAAAAUCAUGCCAUUGUUUCGUCGUCGGUUGGGCCUGAGUAUUAUGUUGGGAU
RNAcentral lists this unclassified non-coding RNA (266 nucleotides) under Hevea brasiliensis (rubber tree). Lineage: Eukaryota; Viridiplantae; Streptophyta; Magnoliopsida; Malpighiales; Euphorbiaceae. The record is from RNAcentral.